GUUUGUUAAUGAGGCAGUUUAUUAAUUAGAAUUUAUGUCCAUUGGAGACGGAGCUGUUUUCCUGAGGGAUGGGAAGUCUGUUAGAUUUUUGAUAGAUUAUUUCUUCUCUUCCUGUUUUAAUUGGAGGCUUAACAUACACACUUCACGGGAUGUGACUUGUGACAGGCACCCGUGUGCCGCCCCACCCCACCUCUCCCGGCCCUGCCAGGCCCGGGCUCCUGCCCUGUAGAACUCAGAGAUGGAGCCGGCGCCACUUGACUAGGGAUGACUAGUUUAGAUCUCCACAUUCGGUACAGUGGGAAUACCUGAGGGGAGAGUUUCAGAGUUAUUUGAGGAGCAGGGACGCCCACGGGUUCCAACCAAUGCCAUCCUUACUUGUUUUGUGUUUCGUUUUAGUUAUUAGCGAUGCGGUUGGAUGAGACUUUGUUGUUUCAUAUGAAAGAAUUUGCUUUGAGGGAGCCGGGAGCAGCACUACAAUCCGCAGGGCUCUGCACGGUGUUAUUUAUGACACCGUGAUGAUGACACUUCGGGUUCUUUUAAAGUUAUAUUUUUUAUUUACAUUCCUGUGUGAGGGAAGGGAGGGGAAGAGGAUGGGAGGAGCUUCCUGUUUGCAAGCCUGCAGGUGCGCCAGUGCUCAGCAGAGGGCACUGAAUGCUACGGAAUUCGAGUUAGCAGAUGGUUGUGAGCUGCCUGAACUACUUAAAUUUUUCAGGUAAAAGGGCAGCAAGCAUUCUUAAACUGCUGAGCGGCCCUCUUGGUGUUCUUUGCUGGGGCAGGGGGGUUAGCAGGGAGGAAGUGUAGAGAACUGGGAGAGUUGAGACCCUUCUUUUGAGCUUUAAGCUGCAUGUAGUUAAUAUCUGAAUGUGUGGCACAAUUGAAAAGGCAGUGGCUUUCAGGCUAGUCACUGCAUGGACUAGUAAGGCAGCUCUCUUGCUCCCAGCACUGUGCAUCUGAUUCUCCAUUCUCAAGGACCACCUGACAUGGUUAAACAGCCCUGGCUUAACGUUCCAGACACUGCUGCCAAUACUUGCGGCUGUUAGUUCCUGAUUUCUGCUUAAGGCUUUGCAGUUCUGCUUAUAGUCCUGUGAUCACACUUCCUCCUGUGGCAGCUGAACUCCACAUUUCCCAAAACAGGAUUUCCCUAUUCUGUAGAGAACUUCCAUGAUUGAAUCUUCCUGCUUCUGGAAAUAAAAUGGGUAGUUCCUUGCAUACAAAGCUUGGAGGGUGUCUCUCGUUCUUCUCUUCUUCUGCUUUUUCUCAUUUACCUGAGGAGAAUUUUAAAUGGAUCAAAGGAAUGAAUGUCAGCCACCAAACUGAGAAGUUGACUUGCCUUUGAUCACCUGUAACUUUGUUAGAAUAAUAAAUUCUGUAGAAAGCUAA
Molecule: long non-coding RNA, 1380 nt
Filed under: Mus caroli (Ryukyu mouse)
Lineage: Eukaryota; Metazoa; Chordata; Mammalia; Rodentia; Muridae
Description: lncRNA (MGP_CAROLIEiJ_G0006439.1)
Source: RNAcentral